UACGUAGGGGGCAAGCGUUGUCCGGAAUCAUUGGGCGUAAAGAGCGUGUAGGUGGCUCGGUAAGUCCGCUGUGAAAGUCCAGGGCUCAACCCUGGAAAGCCGGUGGAAACUGUCGAGCUCGAGUCCGGAAGAGGCGAGUGGAAUUCCUGGUGUAGCGGUGAAAUGCGCAGAUAUCAGGAGGAACACCAAUGGCGAAGGCAGCUCGCUGGGACGGUACUGACACUGAGACGCGAAAGCGUGGGGAGCGAACAGG
Molecule: ribosomal RNA, 253 nt
Filed under: uncultured bacterium
Lineage: Bacteria
Description: partial 16S ribosomal RNA
Rfam family: Bacterial small subunit ribosomal RNA
Source: RNAcentral